Molecule: RNA transcript, 5224 nt
Organism: Lytechinus pictus (painted urchin)
Lineage: Eukaryota; Metazoa; Echinodermata; Echinoidea; Temnopleuroida; Toxopneustidae
Gene name: phospholipid scramblase 1-like
Exons: 12
Source: RefSeq, a predicted model, not a curated record
GCUCAUAACUCUUUUAUUGCUAGUCCUAUUUUACUCAAAGUUUUGUUGAUCUUAUUCUUUGAUUUUUCUGCUUUCACAAAAGCUAACUUGCUCCAAGAGUUUCAUUCUCCUUUAAUUGUUGUCAUUUCUCCAUGGUUGGAUACAGCUACUGGCGACUAGAACUCGUAGACUAGCAUUUAACACUCGGCAAAUAUAUUCUAUUCAUAAAAUAGGGAGAGUGUUUAUUAUUAUGCAAAUGUUUGGAUGUUCGGUGCGAUCAGCGCUCACACCCAUUCAACACAAUACAGCAAUAGGUGUACUGUUACACCAUUACAUAAAUGCACUAUCUCCCUCAACAACAGUGGAUCGACUAUAUAUUAUAAUCACUGUGUGCAGGAUAGCAACCGGUAAUAUCCCUUUCUAUCUACUGCAAAUACGCUGAUCAAGUGCACAUAUUACUUCCGAAUUGAGAUCAUUAUCAUCUAGUAUAAUUCUACCACAUCAAGAUGGCACAACCGCCACCACCACCACAAAUGGCAAUGAACCCCAUAGGGGCACAGCCGGGCGGGAAGCCCCCUGUCAACUGGAUGCCUGCCCCCACAGUUGCUGCACCUCAAGGAUGCCCGCCAGGUCUGGAAUACCUCACGCAAGUCGAUCAGCUGCUUGUUCACCAGAUCGUCGAACUCUUCGAAAUGUUCACUGGUGUUGAGAUGGCAAACAGAUAUGCCAUCAAGAAUAGUCUUGGUCAACAGGUCUACUUUGCUCACGAAGAGUCAGACUUCUGCAUGCGUCAAUGUUGUGGACCCCAGCGUGGCUUUAUCAUCCACAUCACAGACAAUAGUCAACAGGAGGUGAUGCGUCUUGAACGUGAAUUCAAGUUCUGUGCUGGUUGUGGAUGGUGCGCUGGUCCUGACAGUGAAACCUGUUCUUUUGAGGUCAGGGUCGAAGCCCCAGUGGGAAACAUCAUCGGAUACGUAAGACAGGCGCAAUAUUACCUUGGGCCCAAGUUUGACAUUCUUGAUGCUGAGAGGAAACCCGUAGUCAAGAUCAAAGGACCCUACUGUAUGUGUCAAGACAUCUGUUGCCAAGGAGAUAUCGAAUUCGAUGUCUUUACCGGUGACAUGGCUUCAACGAUUGGAAAAGUAUCAAAACAAUGGCCAGGAUGUUUUAAGCACGCGUGGACUGACGCUGACAACUUUGGUGUGACAUUCCCUGUCGAUCUGCAUGUGAACGUGAAGGCGACCCUCUUGGCGGCUGUGUUCCUUAUUGACUUCAUGUUCUUUGAGACGUCAAACAAUAACAACAAUUAAUCACCAGGACUUUAUGUUCUUCGAGGAAUCGAACAACGGCGACAGUGGCUAAACAGGAUUUCAUGUUCUUCGAGACAUCAAACAACAACAACAACAAUAAUUAAGAAGAAUGAUCACCAAGCAUCCACGAUACCGAUUACGAUAUUCCAAAUGUGCCAUGUUGUCUGUAAAUUGCGGUUUAUUUUCUUCAAUGAUUGUAACAUUAUAUUGUCUGAUAAUGAAACAUCUAGGUGAUGGAAUAAUAGAUUUCUUAAAGACAUUACGUCACGAGAUUUAUAUAGGUAGCGAUCGAUUCGCAGUCACCAAUUUGAUUAGGCAGAUUGACAUCAACAAAAUAAGUUGAGUAUGCGAUUUACAUUUUUAAAUGUAACUAAAGACUUGAUAGAGACUGAUCAGAAUACUUUGAAAUAUAAGAACCUGGAAAAUGUAUAUGAAUCCUUUAAUAUAAGGCCUAGAUAAUACUCUGCACUCGCGGAAUAAACGGGUGCGACCGUCCCCCUCUUUAAUGCCGCUCGUAAUUAUUAUCAGCGCCAUCUCUAGUUCUCGUGACGUAUUGGCUUUGAUAAAUGUUAUUACUAUAGUGGGUAACUGUAAUUUAUGCAACAUAAAAUUAAAGAGUUUUGCGGAGAUAUGCUUUCAUUUAUUGUUUUCAGUGGUAUUUGUAAUGGAAAUAAACAUCAAAGUCAAUAUAUCAUUUGUUUUUUCUCCAGAUUCUUGAAAUUUUAUGAAAGGUGGUUGUGACCUUUUAACACAGACAAUCACCAUGGGUAUACUUUUUUAUAAUUCGUAUUCAUAUCCAGUGAUGCAUUCAUUAAUCCGAUCUAAUAUCUCAUUAAAAUAUUAGAUUGACUACGGGAACUGUAUUUAUGACGUCAUGAAAUAUCAUUCAAACAAUAUUUAUCUUUUAAAAUGUAUAUUAAUAGAGGCUGAGCAUCACACACUGUUCUACAUUUGGUGAACAUACGCAGAAGUUUAUGAACAUCUGACGUGUUGUGCAUGAUGUAUUAAGGUACAGUUACAUCAACUAAGCCGACUCCAGUCCGAUCAAAGCUAUUACAUUAUUCCCAAUGGCAUACCAUCGAGAUCGGUUUGGAGUCGGUUUCGUUGGUGUGACUUUAACAUAUAGUAAGAAUGUAUUUUAGAGGCUUUGGGUAAAGGUUAUUUCUAACGUAUAUGAUAUUUUUGUGUAAAUAUAAAACUGUUAUUCCAUGUUUUCUGUUUUCUAUAUAACACCAUCAUCAUUCCGAAUUGAAUUAAGGUUUGCGGUUCUCAUAAGUUUCUGUUGUAUAAUUUCAAAUGAUUGGAAAGUAAAGAUAGAAAAAUGAUGAGAAUAAUUUUAGCGCACAACCAAAAGACAUGUUAAUCAGGGCUGAUAAUAGGACUAUAGAUAUUCCUACUUCCAUAACCAUUAUAGAAGGCUUAAUUUUUCAACAAUACACCCCCCCCCCCCUCCCUCCAUCCACCCGAAAAAAGAAUAACAGAUAAGACAAAAGAUGAUUUUUCAUCGCAAAAUCAGUUGUGUUGCAACUACACCAGAGAAUCACCCCUAGCACUUUAUACCCAUAUGUGUCGUCAUAACACAUUCUCAUUUCAACAUCAUCCGGUGUUGUGUUCAAACUGCAUGGUGUAGGCCAGUGGCGGAUCGGGGGGGGGGGGGCACAUCCGGCCCGUCCCCCCCCCCCUUGAGAGUCAUAGGCAAUAUUUUUAAUGUAAAUAUGCUGUUCAUACACAAGUGUACCCCCCCCCUCCUUUGAAAGUCACAAUAUAUAUUUUGAAUGGGAACAUGUCAAAUUUUUGUAGGAGAAUGUGCCCCCCCUUUUUUUUUGGGGGGGGGGUGAAUCUUGGAUCCGCCCCUGGUGUAGGUCUAUUUUUAACACCUGCAUGUGUUGUAUUCUCACAACACUAACCGGUGUCGUCUUGACACCGUACUCUUUAUAGUAUAUGAAUUCAAAAUAUGUGCUUAUAGCACCGGGUGUAAGGUGUAAUUAUAUUCAUUUUGAUUGUGUUAAUAUGACUGAAGUCUGUCCAAACUUGCGAUGAACUUCAACUCGAUCGUGAGAAUCGCAGGUCUUUAUGAUAACACAGAAUAGUAGAAAAUUUUUAAGUGAAUAAUGCAUGCCUCCAAAAUCAUUGAGAAUUAAAUUUUGAUAUCUUUGUUCUUGAAACCAACAAAGAAAGAUAACAAGAUACCGUUCACAUACCUAUUGAGUAUUAAAAUUCUUGGAUGUAAACCCACCCCCACCCUCACACUUACCCCACUCACACGCAUCACUCGUGUACCACAUUUUUUAUAGCAAGUUUUUAUUGAAAAUCACGAUAAAGCGCUUCCUUUUUAUAGAGGACCAGAGCUUAUAUCCGAAUGUAGACAACAUUAGUGUAGAAUAUUUUGUACAUUUAUUGUGGUAAAUUUGGUAUCUCGUUAGUAUAAAGUAUGUAAUUUUUUUCUUUGGAAAGCUUUUAGAUUUGUAAUGCCCUACAUCUCACGUUUAGUAUUUAACGAAGUAGCAUAUUAUCAUAUAGUCGAUGAACACGUACGAUCAGAUAAAAAGAUUGAAUAAUAUUUCCCAUGUGAAUUUGAACUUUUAAAUCAUAUGUGGAAUAAUAUCUGACCAAACAUAAUAUUUGUGUCCUUUGGGAUAGUUUAGGUAUUUUCUGUAUGGCAUAGAUUAAACACUUUUGCCUAAGAACGAGGCACUAUAGGCCCUAUAGAAUUGUCCAAUUUGUACUUUUCCAACACUAUGUAAUUUUAUUCUUUUACACUUCAAUGUCAUCUUAUCUUAACUUGUAUAUUAAAAGUGGUUUAGUUUAAUUUGUGUCUUAUUAUCAGCUCGUUUAUACCAAAAAUACAUAAAUUUGAUAUAUUAUCAUUCUAGUUAUUUAUUUUCAUAUUAUUUAGGAUAUGUGCCUUUCAUGACUGUAUUAUAACCCUCCCCCCUCUCCCUCUCCCUCUCCUUCUCUCUCUCUGGGCUUUGAUUAUGAGAUUUGAAUUGAUUGUUGUGCUUUAAAAUCCUUCCAUUGGCUCACGUAUAAUGCAAAUUUUAUAUCAUUACGCAGUCUUUCAGAUUCAUCGAUGGAUUGCUAAUUACACAAUGCUGUAAUAAUUAUAUAUGUAUAGUUUCUUCAUACAUUGACCUAUAUAUUUUACAUCCUAUGCCUUCUGUAAUGGAUUAUUAGGAAAUGAGAUGGACCAUCCAUGAUGUAUUUGUAUAAAGCUGACUGUUAAAUGAAUGUGUUCAUCGCUUGGAUGGCCGAAUUUUUGGAACAACCGGGAAAUGUAAAUGUCAAACAUGAAAAUUGAAGACAAAAUAGCUUAUUUAAGUUUGGAAUGCAUGAUUCUAAGUAAAAGGAGGCCUAAUUAUAUGCUAAUGAAAAACAAAGUUCCUAUAUACCAAAUCUACCACUGACAGCACAUGGCGUCAUCAUGCGAUUUUGAAUUAAAAGGGCCGACAUGAACCUCUGUAUAUGAAUUUGAUAAUUGAAAUAUUUUUCCGUUAUGAUUUUUGUUGUUUAUAUCAUAAUGAGUUUGCAAAAAAAAAUCUUUCGCAAAUCGACUGAAUCUAUUACAGUAUGAAGAGUGUUCUGGUAUGAUGUGUUCUAACACAGUACAUCAAGAGAGAGGUCGGGUGGCUUUUUCGAGCGUAUUGAUAUCGAAAAUUUUGGAAGAAUUAAAGUGGUAGGCCCUAUUACCGAUAUUUUCAUUUCUUUGAUAUGUUUUGUAUGCAUGGUAAAUAAAAUAUAGUGAUUUAUAAUCAAAAGUAGAAUUUAUGUUAUUUUCUUAUCUGUAGAGAGUUACUGUUUUAGUUGUGAAUUUAUAUGAUUGAAAUCAACUCUUGCAGUGACGUUAUUUGCUCUUGGGUCGUAGAGUCUAAUUUAUCAAAGCCUGUAUAAUGGAUUAAUGUAUAUACAUGAACUAAUAAAAUAGUGUUGUAUAAUAA